AACGCGUAGGUACUGAAGAUUUGGCCAGAGAACCCAGUAGACCACAGACUGAGAUUUUAGAGUCCGGAUCUGCAGAAGUAACAGAAGUGUAUAAGAUUGUCACCUCCUCAGCGAUAUAUGUAGAUAGGGCCCAUCUAAGUUAUUUUAUGUAUUUUAUACAUUAUGUAAAUUAUGAACUUGUGUAAUUAGUUUAUAAAUCAUGUAAAUUUAUGUAAUUUGAAAAUUUUUACAUAUGAAUUCAGUAUGAAUGGAAAUGUAUGGAAAUGAUUAUGAAAUUGAAAUAUAUGGAUGAGAUUUGAAAUAUGAGAAAAUUAUGAGAAUGAUUGAUGAGAUAAUUAUAAUUAGCAUGCAUAAGAUUUUAUUGUGAAAAUAUUGUUGAAUUUCAAGUAGGCGAAUAGUGAAUCACGUCAAACGAUAAUAGAAACAGGGAAAACUCCUGGUUUCUCCCGUCGAAAAAUAAUUGAUAUUAAAAUAU
This 475-nucleotide unclassified non-coding RNA is filed under the name Hevea brasiliensis (rubber tree). The record is from RNAcentral. Lineage: Eukaryota; Viridiplantae; Streptophyta; Magnoliopsida; Malpighiales; Euphorbiaceae.